GAUGAACGCUGGCGGCGUGCCUAACACAUGUAAGUCGAGCGAGGGUUUGCUCAGUAUUGAGUAUUCUAAGACUAGAAUGUUCAAUUCUGAGCAAAACCAAGCGGCGGACGGGUGAGUAACGCGUGGGUAACCUGCCCUAUACACAUGGAUAACAUACUGAAAAGUUUACUAAUACAUGAUAAUAUAUAUUUGCGGCAUCGCAGAUAUAUCAAAGUGUUAGCGGUAUAGGAUGGACCCGCGUCUGAUUAGCUAGUUGGUGAGAUAACUGCCCACCAAGGCGACGAUCAGUAGCCGACCUGAGAGGGUGAUCGGCCACAUUGGAACUGAGACACGGUCCAAACUCCUACGGGAGGCAGCAGUGGGGAAUAUUGCACAAUGGGCGAAAGCCUGAUGCAGCAACGCCGCGUGAACGAUGAAGGUCUUCGGAUCGUAAAGUUCUGUUGCAGGGGAA
RNAcentral lists this ribosomal RNA (451 nucleotides) under Peptostreptococcus stomatis. RNAcentral describes it as "bacterial SSU rRNA". It matches the Rfam family "Bacterial small subunit ribosomal RNA", at positions 28 to 446 of the family's 1533-position model. The record is from RNAcentral. Lineage: Bacteria; Bacillati; Bacillota; Clostridia; Peptostreptococcales; Peptostreptococcaceae.